UGGGGGAGUUGUGGCAGCUUAUAUUGUAAGAACCAUCUCUUUCACUUUAAAUAUAGCAACAGGCUGGUUUCUUAGGGGAGUUGUGGCAGCUUAUAUUUGUAUCUUCACUUUGAGAUCCUUCCAUGAGCAUCAUCAAUUGAAGAGAAAAUGUUGUCAUCCAAAAAAAACACCGGGUUCUUCCCAAUGAAGCGAAAGAGGCCUCUUUUUUUUCGAUACUUCCGAAUUCCUCAUGUAUCGUACCAAAAUUCACAGGUUCAGAGGUUAUCUAAUGCUGAUCUGAGUACGAAUUAUUCGCUAACUUCCAUUUCUCGAACACAGUCUUUCCCAUCAUAUAUGCAUAACUUCAAUGGAUAACGAGACACCCAAAUGAACAAGCUUUUUGAAUGAUGACGACAAAAGAUUAUUUGCUGUCCUAAUAAUGAUUAUUUGUUUCCUAUUGAGUUCAUUGGUAAUAUUUAAUUACAGUU
Long non-coding RNA from Limulus polyphemus (Atlantic horseshoe crab), 467 nucleotides. RefSeq lists it as uncharacterized. The transcript has 2 exons. The record is from RefSeq and is a predicted model, not a curated record. Lineage: Eukaryota; Metazoa; Arthropoda; Merostomata; Xiphosura; Limulidae.